This 497-nucleotide ribosomal RNA is filed under the name uncultured bacterium. RNAcentral describes it as "bacterial SSU rRNA". It matches the Rfam family "Bacterial small subunit ribosomal RNA", at positions 30 to 518 of the family's 1533-position model. The record is from RNAcentral.
AUUGAACGCUGGCGGCAUGCUUUACACAUGCAAGUCGAACGGUAACAGGUCUUCAGAUGCUGACGAGUGGCGAACGGGUGAGUAAUGUAUCGGAACGUGGCCCAGUAGUGGGGGAUAACUACUCGAAAGAGUGGCUAAUACCGCAUGAGAACUGAGGUUGAAAGCGGGGGACCUUCGGGCCUCGCGCUACUGGAGCGGCCGAUAUCAGAUUAGGUAGUUGGUGGGGUAAAGGCCUACCAAGCCGACGAUCUGUAGCUGGUCUGAGAGGACGACCAGCCACACUGGGACUGAGACACGGCCCAGACUCCUACGGGAGGCAGCAGUGGGGAAUUUUGGACAAUGGACGCAAGUCUGAUCCAGCAAUGCCGCGUGCAGGACGAAGGCCUUCGGGUUGUAACUAGCUUUUGUACAGAACGAAAAGGCUACUGGUUAAUACCUUGGGCGUCAUGACGGUACUGUAAGAAUAAGACACCGGCUAACUACGUGCCAGCAGCCGC